RNAcentral lists this ribosomal RNA (1694 nucleotides) under Bacillus thuringiensis. RNAcentral describes it as "bacterial LSU rRNA". It matches the Rfam family "Bacterial large subunit ribosomal RNA", at positions 1 to 1681 of the family's 2925-position model. Lineage: Bacteria; Bacillati; Bacillota; Bacilli; Caryophanales; Bacillaceae. The record is from RNAcentral.
GUUUGGUUAAGUUAGAAAGGGCGCACGGUGGAUGCCUUGACACUAGGAGUCGAUGAAGGACGGGACUAACGCCGAUAUGCUUCGGGGAGCUGUAAGUAAGCUUUGAUCCGAAGAUUUCCGAAUGGGGAAACCCACUAUACGUAAUGGUAUGGUAUCUUUACCUGAAUACAUAGGGUAUGGAAGACAGACCCAGGGAACUGAAACAUCUAAGUACCUGGAGGAAGAGAAAGCAAAUGCGAUUUCCUGAGUAGCGGCGAGCGAAACGGAACAUAGCCCAAACCAAGAGGCUUGCCUCUUGGGGUUGUAGGACAUUCUAUACGGAGUUACAAAGGAACGAGGUAGACGAAGCGACCUGGAAAGGUCCGUCGUAGAGGGUAACAACCCCGUAGUCGAAACUUCGUUCUCUCUUGAAUGUAUCCUGAGUACGGCGGAACACGUGAAAUUCCGUCGGAAUCUGGGAGGACCAUCUCCCAAGGCUAAAUACUCCCUAGUGAUCGAUAGUGAACCAGUACCGUGAGGGAAAGGUGAAAAGCACCCCGGAAGGGGAGUGAAAGAGAUCCUGAAACCGUGUGCCUACAAAUAGUCAGAGCCCGUUAAUGGGUGAUGGCGUGCCUUUUGUAGAAUGAACCGGCGAGUUACGAUCCCGUGCGAGGUUAAGCUGAAGAGGCGGAGCCGCAGCGAAAGCGAGUCUGAAUAGGGCGUUUAGUACGUGGUCGUAGACCCGAAACCAGGUGAUCUACCCAUGUCCAGGGUGAAGUUCAGGUAACACUGAAUGGAGGCCCGAACCCACGCACGUUGAAAAGUGCGGGGAUGAGGUGUGGGUAGCGGAGAAAUUCCAAUCGAACCUGGAGAUAGCUGGUUCUCCCCGAAAUAGCUUUAGGGCUAGCCUUAAGUGUAAGAGUCUUGGAGGUAGAGCACUGAUUGAACUAGGGGUCCUCAUCGGAUUACCGAAUUCAGUCAAACUCCGAAUGCCAAUGACUUAUCCUUAGGAGUCAGACUGCGAGUGAUAAGAUCCGUAGUCAAGAGGGAAACAGCCCAGAUCGCCAGCUAAGGUCCCAAAGUGUGUAUUAAGUGGAAAAGGAUGUGGAGUUGCUUAGACAACUAGGAUGUUGGCUUAGAAGCAGCCACCAUUUAAAGAGUGCGUAAUAGCUCACUAGUCGAGUGACUCUGCGCCGAAAAUGUACCGGGGCUAAAUACACCACCGAAGCUGCGAAUUGAUACCGAUGGUAUCAGUGGUAGGGGAGCGUUCUAAGUGCAGUGAAGUCAGACCGGAAGGACUGGUGGAGCGCUUAGAAGUGAGAAUGCCGGUAUGAGUAGCGAAAGACGGGUGAGAAUCCCGUCCACCGAAUGCCUAAGGUUUCCUGAGGAAGGCUCGUCCGCUCAGGGUUAGUCAGGACCUAAGCCGAGGCCGACAGGCGUAGGCGAUGGACAACAGGUUGAUAUUCCUGUACCACCUCUUUAUCGUUUGAGCAAUGGAGGGACGCAGAAGGAUAGAAGAAGCGUGCGAUUGGUUGUGCACGUCCAAGCAGUUAGGCUGAUAAGUAGGCAAAUCCGCUUAUCGUAAGGCUGAGCUGUGAUGGGGAAGCUCCUUAUGGAGCGAAGAUCUUUGAUUCCCCGACUGCCAAGAAAAGCUUCYUAGCGAGAUAAAAGGUGCCUGUACCGCAAACCGACACAGGUAGGCGAGGAGAGAAUCC